CUUUGGAUUUCCUCUCACAUACCUCACGAUUAGUAGGAGAUCACAGCAACUUUUUGCACAGAAAUCCAGACCAGAUCCUCAGCCAGGAGGGACUCGGCCGUGUAGUGACCGUGGGGUUUCACAUCUGGCAUUUCUCCCUACGAAGCAGAUCAGCUCUCUGUUCUCAAGAUUUUGCUUCUCUCCACCUGCCCCCAGCACUGCACCGAACCCAGAAGGAGGGAAAAGCUGGCACUGACAGCCAGGAGCAGAAGAGAAAUGGGAGCACAGGGAAAGCAGGGAAGCUGUGUAGUGUUACAAGCAGGAGACAGGAGCUGCUGACAAAGUUCUUCAUUCUGUUGCCAUUCUGCUGCAGCCCAGGUCAUGCCAACAUAUUCCAGUGCGUGUGAGAUCACCAUCAAAGAGGUUGAAUUCUUCCUGCUGAAAAUAUUUUGUGCAUUUGUCGGGAAUUAGAUGCUUUAUAUUACAUAUAUUCGUAGGGAUCUUGAAUCACAUAUCACCAAUCACGUUUCAGUGAACAACAGCCAGGGGCUUUUCUUCCCACAUGAAUGGCUGCGGUGAGAGCUGGGUGUCCAUUGCCACAGACCCCUAUAGAAGACAGCUGAACUGUUGCAAAUUAUUAGAAACCGAUGGCAUAGAGGGUACAAAUAUCAGUUAUCUUUAGCUGUCCUUUGGGUUUUCUGUAUCUUCACAUUUCCACCACAAGACAGAGAGGGCCAGCUGACAGAUACUGUAGUACAGUAAAUAAGCAUCUCAUUUUCGUUACCCCGGUUCGUUACCAUUACGCUGAGAAUGUGAGCAAACAUGGAGCAGCACAACAGAUGGGUCCAAACAGCCCGUGGUUCCUCUGCAUGGAGAUCUGCAAGACUGCUCUCUAACGACACCGACGCAUUGCUCUACCCAAUGGGGUUUAUAGGUGCACGUAUUUGUUUUCCUUUUGAAACAAGGACCCACACAAGCUCCACCCCAUGGCUGUGAUACAUCUCUGUGCAACUUGAGGAAUGCAGUCAGUACCUCCCCUUGGGGUACGUCUUGAAAGCCAAAGCCACUGAAGCAGCCUGGAAGGCUAUCGCAUGCCUGGCAGGGCUUACUUGUAACGGCAUAUUCCAUGUGAUAAGGGGGUAGGUUUGCAAGAGGAAAAAAUCAGCCUGGAAGUUUUGACAGAUCGCAAACGACCGGAUUUGAGCUGUUCAGAGAAUGUGCAUCCCAGUCCUGGAAGGGUGAGACUGCGGUCACAGGUGGGAUGUGAGGAACAUUUACAAUCAGGAUUGCUUUCUUCUGUGACCACAGUUCUUCUCUCUUCUCAAUCCCCGCUGUAUCAGAUGCCCCCACAUCUGGGAACAACCAAACAAAAGCCCAGCCACCAACAAGUGAGGGGAGGGAACAAACCAAGAAAUGGCAGCACAGAUUUGGACAGCAGUCUCACACAGGAAUCACUGAAAACCUUUUCUCACUUAGGGAAACUUCUAUUUCCAUCAUAGCCACCCAUUUUUUUCCAAGAACUGAUUUAAAUACAGGUAUCCAUGUCUUAGUUAAUCACCUUUAGUGUUCAGCCAAAUACAUUAAUGGUUCAUUUGAAUAUGGAAAGGUAUCUGCUAUUAGACGUCAAUGAUGCAACCCCCAGUUGGUGUCACAAGGGCUAAGGUGUCAUUCUGUGUAAGGUGGUCUCUCUCCUCCUCCUCAUGCUCUUCUGCAGCAGUGUCUUACAG
RNAcentral lists this long non-coding RNA (1706 nucleotides) under Gallus gallus (chicken). RNAcentral describes it as "lncRNA (ENSGALG00010002641.1)". The record is from RNAcentral. Lineage: Eukaryota; Metazoa; Chordata; Aves; Galliformes; Phasianidae.